GAGACAUCAGCCUUCUCGCUCCGCGGCCCUGCAGGACCUGCCCGCCGGGAGCCCCGGAGUCCGCGGCAGCGCCGAGGGCCCCUCCCCCAGGCCUCUGGGCUCUGAGGCUCAUCCAUGGAAUACCAAUUCUUUUUCUUAGUGUUCACAUUGGAUUUUUCUGUUAAAAAUAGAUUGUUGGAGUUGGCUAACAAGUUGAUUACUUCCAGUCAGGCACUCUCUUCUGUAAAGUCUCUUUUGUAAACUCCUACAAGCAGCUAUUUCACUGGAUUUGAAAAGACUGACUAAAAAGAACCAUGCACUGUAACUCUCAAGUAUACAGGAAUAUUGUUAUUAGCAGAGAAUGAAUGUACUCAAGAUUACCAGUUUUGCAGAUGAAUAAACCAAUGAUUCCAGAGGUUAUGGUGCAUAUCUAGAGUCACAUGACUAAGAAAUGAUAAAACCAGGAUUUCAGCCAGGUUAUCUGUUUCAAGACAUUUUCAGACAAAAAAA
RNAcentral lists this long non-coding RNA (489 nucleotides) under Homo sapiens (human). RNAcentral's name for it is "KIF9 antisense RNA 1". Lineage: Eukaryota; Metazoa; Chordata; Mammalia; Primates; Hominidae. The record is from RNAcentral.